CUGGCGGCAUGCCUAAACUUUCUCGUCGAACGCACCUUUCGGGGUGUGUGGCGCACGGGUGAGUAACGCGUGAGAACCUGCCCUGGGGACGGGGAUAACCCCGGGAAACGGUGGCUAAUACCCGAUGCGCCUUGAGGCAAAAAAUUUUUCGCCCUUCGAGUGGCUCCCCUCCGAUUAACUUGUUGGUGGGGUAAAAGCUCACCACGGCGCUCCCAUCUCGUAUACUGUGUCUCUAGAAAGAUGAGAUCGCCACACUGGGACUGAGACACACGCCCAGACUCCUUACGGAGGGAGCAGUGGGGAAUUUUGCGCAAUGGGCGCAAGCCUUACAUCAACACUUCCGCGCGUGUGUAAGAAGGCUCUUGGGUUUAAACCUCUUUUCUCUGGAACAAUUCUGACGGUACCUGAGAAAAAGCAUCGGCUAACUCGUGCCAGCGCCGCGGUAUUACGGAGGAUGCAAGCGUUAUCCGGAAUUAUUGGGCGUAAAGCGUCCGCAGGUGGCAUUUCCAGUCUGCUGUCAAAGACCAGGGCUCAACCUGGGAC
This 543-nucleotide ribosomal RNA is filed under the name Phormidium chlorinum BDU 140691. RNAcentral's name for it is "bacterial SSU rRNA". It matches the Rfam family "Bacterial small subunit ribosomal RNA", at positions 36 to 620 of the family's 1533-position model. The record is from RNAcentral. Lineage: Bacteria; Bacillati; Cyanobacteriota; Cyanophyceae; Oscillatoriales; Oscillatoriaceae.